UCAGGCACGAAGCCAGGGGAGCAAUCGGAAUAGAUAGCCCGGUAGUCCUGUCAGUAAACUGUGCUCACUCGCUGUUGCCGGUUCGACCCGAUCGGUGCCGAACCUAACGGAGUAAGUGAACCGCCUGGGGAGUACGGUCGCCAGAUUGAAACUCGUAGAAAUUGACGGGGGCCCGCACAAGCGGUGGAGUAUGUGGCUUAAUUCGAUGCAACGCGAAGAACCUUACCUGGUCUUGACACGCAUUUUCAUCCGGUGAAAGCCGGUGUCCCGCAAGGGAGAAUUGCACAGGUGCUGCAUGGCUGUCGUCAGCUCGUGUCGUGAGAUGUUGGGUUAAGUCCCGCAACGAGCGCAACCGUUAUGUCUAGUUAUACGCCCGCAGGGCUCUCUAGUCAGACUGCCCUGUCAAUCGGGGAGGAAGGUGGGGAUGACGUCAAGUCAGGAUGGCAUUAUGUCCAGGGCUGCACACGUAUUACAAUGCCCAAUACAGAGGGCAGCCAAGUCGCGAGACGGAGCCAAUCCCAGAAAAGUGUGCUCAGUUCGGAUUGGAGUCUGCACUCGACCUCCAUGAAGUUGGAAUCGCUAGUAAUGGCG
This 591-nucleotide ribosomal RNA is filed under the name uncultured Verrucomicrobiota bacterium. RNAcentral's name for it is "bacterial SSU rRNA". It matches the Rfam family "Bacterial small subunit ribosomal RNA", at positions 747 to 1346 of the family's 1533-position model. The record is from RNAcentral. Lineage: Bacteria; Pseudomonadati; Verrucomicrobiota.